UGAGAUAAAGUGUAAAGCACAUUAAAUUUUGGGUUUAAAAGUUAAAUCUCAU
Molecule: transfer RNA, 52 nt
Filed under: Trouessartia rubecula
Lineage: Eukaryota; Metazoa; Arthropoda; Arachnida; Sarcoptiformes; Trouessartiidae
Description: tRNA-Gln
Source: RNAcentral